Molecule: ribosomal RNA, 1463 nt
Filed under: metagenome
Description: bacterial SSU rRNA
Rfam family: Bacterial small subunit ribosomal RNA
Source: RNAcentral
AGAGUUUGAUCCUGGCUCAGGAUGAACGCUAGCGGCGUGCCUAAUGCAUGCAAGUCGAACGGGAACCUUUGGACUCGUCUGAAGGUGAGAGUGGCGAACGGGUGAGUAACACGUAGGUGACCUACCCCAGAGAGGGGGACAACCAGUGGAAACGCUGGCUAAUACCCCGGAUGUCAAUCUGGUUAGAGUGGAUUGACUAAAGCUCCGGCGCUCUGGGAGGGGCCUGCGUCCCAUCAGCUAGUUGGUGAGGUAAUGGCUCACCAAGGCAAAGACGGGUAGGGGGCGUGAGAGCGUGACCCCCCACACUGGUACUGACACACGGACCAGAUACCUACGGGUAGCAGCAGCAAGGAAUAUUGCGCAAUGGGCGAAAGCCUGACGCAGCAACGCCGCGUGAAGGAUGAAGGCCUUCGGGUUGUAAACUUCUCUUCUGGGGAAGAGAAAGGACGGUACCCCAGGAAUAAGGCCCGGCUAACUACGUGCCAGCAGCCGCGGUAAAACGUAGGGGUCGAGCGUUAUCCGGAAUUACUGGGCGUAAAGCGCGUGUAGGCGGCAGCUUAAGUCGGACGUGAAAGCUCCUGGCUCAACUAGGAGAUGCCGUUCGAAACUAGGCAGCUCGAGGGUGGUAGAGGCAAGUGGAAUUCCCGGUGUAGUGGUGAAAUGCGUAGAUAUCGGGAGGAACACCAGUGGCGAAGGCGGCUUGCUGGGCCAUUCCUGACGCUGAGACGCGAAAGCUAGGGGAGAGAACGGGAUUAGAAACCCCGGUAUUCCUAGCCGUAAACGAUGUCAACUAGGUGUAGGUGGUGAUUGACCCCAUCUGUGCUGCAGCUAACGCGUUAAGUUGACCGCCUGGGGACUACGGCCGCAAGGCUAAAACUCAAAGGAAUUGACGGGGACCCGCACAAGCAGCGGAGCGUGUGGUUUAAUUCGAGCUACGCGAAGAACCUUACCAGGGUUUGACAUAUACGUGGUAGGAAACUGAAAAGGGACCGACCCUUCGGGGAGCGUAUACAGGUGCUGCAUGGCUGUCGUCAGCUCGUGCCGUGAGGUGUUAGGUUAAGUCCUGUAACGAGCGCAACCCUCGUCGUUAGUUAUAAGUGUCUAACGAGACUGCCGGUGAUAAGCCGGAGGAAGGUGGGGAUGACGUCAAGUCCGCAUGGCCUUUAUAUCCUGGGCUACACACACGCUACAAUGGCCAGUACAAUGGGCAGCCAAGCCGCGAGGCGGAGCCAAUCCCACAAAGCUGGUCUCAGUUCGGAUUGUAGGCUGCAACUCGCCUGCAUGAAGUCGGAGUUGCUAGUAACCGCGCGUCAGCAACAGUGCGGUGAAUACGUUCCCGGGUCUUGUACACACCGCCCGUCACGUCAUGGAAGUUGGCAACGCCUGAAGUCAGUGGGCUAACCCUAACGGGAGGCAACUGCCUAAGGCGGGGUCGGUAACUGGGACGAAGUCGAAACAAGGUA